RNAcentral lists this unclassified non-coding RNA (358 nucleotides) under soil metagenome. RNAcentral describes it as "partial contains 5.8S ribosomal RNA, internal transcribed spacer 2, and large subunit ribosomal RNA". The stretch from base 1 to 120 matches the Rfam family "5.8S ribosomal RNA", at positions 35 to 154 of the family's 154-position model. The record is from RNAcentral.
GAUGAAGAACGCAGUGAAAUGCGAUAAGUAAUGUGAAUUGCAGAAUUCAGUGAAUCAUCGAAUCUUUGAACGCACAUUGCGCCCGUCAGUAUUCUGGCGGGCAUGCCUGUUCGAGCGUCAUUACGCCCCUCCAGUCCCCUGUGGACUUGGUGUUGGGGAUCGGCGAGGCUGGUUUUCCAGCACAGCCGUCCCUUAAAUUAAUUGGCGGUCUCGCCGUGGCCCUCCUCUGCGCAGUAGUAAAACACUCGCAACAGGAGCCCGGCGCGGUCCACUGCCGUAAAACCCCCCAACUUUUUAUAGUUGACCUCGAAUCAGGUAGGACUACCCGCUGAACUUAAGCAUAUCAAUAAGCGGAGGA